Molecule: microRNA precursor, 205 nt
Filed under: Oryza sativa Indica Group (long-grained rice)
Lineage: Eukaryota; Viridiplantae; Streptophyta; Magnoliopsida; Poales; Poaceae
Description: MIR812 microRNA precursor family
Rfam family: MIR812 microRNA precursor family
Source: Rfam by way of RNAcentral
AUUAAGUACAGCCAUAAGUUUCCGUGCCCAACUUUAAUCGUCCGUCUUAUUUAAAAUUUUUUUAUAAUUAGCAUUUUUGUUGUUAUAAGAUAAUAAAACCUGAAUAGUAUUUUACUCGUGACUAAUUUUUUUAAUUUUUUUUUAAAAUUUUUUAAAUAAGACGAAUGAUCAAAGUUGAGCGCGAAAAACCAUGGUUGCAGUUAUU